This 333-nucleotide ribosomal RNA is filed under the name uncultured bacterium. Its description in RNAcentral is "partial 16S ribosomal RNA". It matches the Rfam family "Bacterial small subunit ribosomal RNA", at positions 338 to 682 of the family's 1533-position model. The record is from RNAcentral.
CCUACGGGCGGCAGCAGUCGAGAAUCAUUCACAAUGGGGGAAACCCUGAUGGGGCGACGCCGCGUGGGGGAAUGAAGGUCUGCGGAUUGUAAACCCCUGUCAUGUGGGAGCAAAUUAAAAAGAUAGUACCACAAGAGGAAGAGACGGCGAACUCUGGGCCAGCAGCCGCGGUAAUACAGAGGUCUCAAGCGUUGUGCGGAACCACUGGGCGUAAAGAGUGCGGAGGCUUUUUCGUAAGUCGUGUGUGAAAGGCGCGGGCUCAACCCGCGGACGGCACAGGAUACUGCGAGACUAGAGUAAUGGAUGGGUCACCGGAAUUCUCGGUGUAGCCGU